CAGCAGCCGCGGUAACACGCAGGGUGCGAGCGUUAAUCGGAAUUACUGGGCGUAAAGCGUGCGCAGGCGGUUGUGUAAGACAGGUGUGAAAUCCCCGGGCUUAACCUGGGAACUGCGCUUGUGACUGCACAGCUAGAGUAUGGCAGAGGGGGGUGGAAUUCCACGUGUAGCAGUGAAAUGCGUAGAGAUGUGGAGGAACACCGACGGCGAAGGCAGCCCCCUGGGCCAAUACUGACGCUCAUGCACGAAAGCGUGGGGAGCAAACAGGAUUAGAUACCCCUGUAGUCCCUGUCUCUUAUAC
This 301-nucleotide ribosomal RNA is filed under the name uncultured bacterium. Its description in RNAcentral is "partial 16S ribosomal RNA". It matches the Rfam family "Bacterial small subunit ribosomal RNA", at positions 509 to 807 of the family's 1533-position model. The record is from RNAcentral.